RNAcentral lists this ribosomal RNA (462 nucleotides) under Bacillus subtilis. Its description in RNAcentral is "bacterial SSU rRNA". The record is from RNAcentral. Lineage: Bacteria; Bacillati; Bacillota; Bacilli; Caryophanales; Bacillaceae.
CCUACGGGGGGGGNWGCAGUAGGGAAUCUUCCGCAAUGGACGAAAGUCUGACGGAGCAACGCCGCGUGAGUGAUGAAGGUUUUCGGAUCGUAAAGCUCUGUUGUUAGGGAAGAACAAGUACCGUUCGAAUAGGGCGGUACCUUGACGGUACCUAACCAGAAAGCCACGGCUAACUACGUGCCAGCAGCCGCGGUAAUACGUAGGUGGCAAGCGUUGUCCGGAAUUAUUGGGCGUAAAGGGCUCGCAGGCGGUUUCUUAAGUCUGAUGUGAAAGCCCCCGGCUCAACCGGGGAGGGUCAUUGGAAACUGGGGAACUUGAGUGCAGAAGAGGAGAGUGGAAUUCCACGUGUAGCGGUGAAAUGCGUAGAGAUGUGGAGGAACACCAGUGGCGAAGGCGACUCUCUGGUCUGUAACUGACGCUGAGGAGCGAAAGCGUGGGGAGCGAACAGGAUUAGAUACCCCC